RNAcentral lists this ribosomal RNA (500 nucleotides) under uncultured bacterium. RNAcentral's name for it is "partial 16S ribosomal RNA". It matches the Rfam family "Bacterial small subunit ribosomal RNA", at positions 30 to 523 of the family's 1533-position model. The record is from RNAcentral.
AUUGAACGCUGGCGGAAUGCUUUACACAUGCAAGUCGAACGGCAGCACGGACUUCGGUCUGGUGGCGAGUGGCGAACGGGUGAGUAAUGUAUCGGAACGUGCCCAGUCGUGGGGGAUAACGUAGUGAAAAUUACGCUAAUACAGCAUACGAGCUAUGGAUGAAAGCGGGGGAUCGCAAGACCUCGCGCGAUUGGAGGGGACGAUAUCAGAUUAGGUAGUUGGUGGGGUAAAGGCACCACAAGCCAACGAUCUGUAGCUGGUCUGAGAGGACGACCAGCCACACUGGAACUGAGACACGGUCCAGACUCCUACGGGAGGCAGCAGUGGGGAAUUUUGGACAAUGGGCGAAAGCCUGAUCCAGCCGUUCCGCGUGCAGGAUGAAGGCCCUCGGGUUGUAAACUGCUUUUGUACAGAACGAAAAGGUUUCUACUAAUACUAGGAGCUCAUGACGGUACUGUAAGAAUAAGCACCGGCUAACUACGUGCCAGCCGCCGCAGUAA